UGGGGAAUAUUGCACAAUGGGCGCAAGCCUGAUGCAGCCAUGCCGCGUGUGUGAAGAAGGUCUUCGGGUUGUAAAGCACUUUCAGCGAGGAGGAAGGCGUUAAGGUUAAUAACCUUAGCGAUUGACGUUACUCGCAGAAGAAGCACCGGCUAACUCCGUGCCAGCAGCCGCGGUAAUACGGAGGGUGCAAGCGUUAAUCGGAAUUACUGGGCGUAAAGCGCACGCAGGCGGUUUGUUAAGUCAGAUGUGAAAUCCCCGAGCUUAACUUGGGAACUGCAUUUGAAACUGGCAAGCUAGAGUCUUGUAGAGGGGGGUAGAAUUCCAGGUGUAGCGGUGAAAUGCGUAGAGAUCUGGAGGAAUACCGGUGGCGAAGGCGGCCCCCUGGACAAAGACUGACGCUCAGGUGCGAAAGCGUGGGGCAGCAAACAGGAUUAGAUACCCUGGUAGUCCACGCUGUAAACGAUGUCGAU
RNAcentral lists this ribosomal RNA (470 nucleotides) under uncultured bacterium. RNAcentral describes it as "partial 16S ribosomal RNA". It matches the Rfam family "Bacterial small subunit ribosomal RNA", at positions 355 to 816 of the family's 1533-position model. The record is from RNAcentral.